RNAcentral lists this non-coding RNA (100 nucleotides) under uncultured Romboutsia sp. RNAcentral's name for it is "TPP riboswitch (THI element)". It matches the Rfam family "TPP riboswitch aptamer (THI element)", at positions 6 to 99 of the family's 105-position model. Rfam says of the family: Vitamin B(1) in its active form thiamin pyrophosphate (TPP) is an essential coenzyme that is synthesised by coupling of pyrimidine and thiazole moieties in bacteria. The previously detected thiamin-regulatory element, thi box was extended, resulting in a new, highly conserved RNA secondary structure, the THI element, which is widely distributed in eubacteria and also occurs in some archaea. Lineage: Bacteria; Bacillati; Bacillota; Clostridia; Peptostreptococcales; Peptostreptococcaceae. The record is from RNAcentral.
AAGCUAGGGGAGCUAGAAUUGGCUAGCUGAGAAAAAAGCCUCAACUUAAAGACCCUAAAAACCUGAUCAAGGUAAUUCUUGCGAAGGGAAGCUUAUAAUA